Molecule: transfer RNA, 71 nt
Filed under: Loxodonta africana (African savanna elephant)
Lineage: Eukaryota; Metazoa; Chordata; Mammalia; Proboscidea; Elephantidae
Rfam family: tRNA
About the family: Transfer RNA (tRNA) molecules are approximately 80 nucleotides in length. Their secondary structure includes four short double-helical elements and three loops (D, anti-codon, and T loops).
Source: Rfam by way of RNAcentral
GCAUUGAUGGGUCAGUGGUAGAAUUCUCACUUUCCAUAUGGGAGAUCCGAGUUCAGUUCUCGGCCAAAGCA